Molecule: ribosomal RNA, 465 nt
Filed under: uncultured Klebsiella sp.
Lineage: Bacteria; Pseudomonadati; Pseudomonadota; Gammaproteobacteria; Enterobacterales; Enterobacteriaceae
Description: bacterial SSU rRNA
Rfam family: Bacterial small subunit ribosomal RNA
Source: RNAcentral
CCUACGGGCGGCAGCAGUGGGGAAUAUUGCACAAUGGGCGCAAGCCUGAUGCAGCCAUGCCGCGUGUGUGAAGAAGGCCUUCGGGUUGUAAAGCACUUUCAGCGGGGAGGAAGGCGGUGAGGUUAAUAACCUCAUCGAUUGACGUUACCCGCAGAAGAAGCACCGGCUAACUCCGUGCCAGCAGCCGCGGUAAUACGGAGGGUGCAAGCGUUAAUCGGAAUUACUGGGCGUAAAGCGCACGCAGGCGGUCUGUCAAGUCGGAUGUGAAAUCCCCGGGCUCAACCUGGGAACUGCAUUCGAAACUGGCAGGUUAGAGUCUUGUAGAGGGGGGUAGAAUUCCAGGUGUAGCGGUGAAAUGCGUAGAGAUCUGGAGGAAUACCGGUGGCGAAGGCGGCCCCCUGGACAAAGACUGACGCUCAGGUGCGAAAGCGUGGGGAGCAAACAGGAUUAGAUACCCGAGUAGUC